This 386-nucleotide ribosomal RNA is filed under the name uncultured bacterium. Its description in RNAcentral is "bacterial SSU rRNA". It matches the Rfam family "Bacterial small subunit ribosomal RNA", at positions 28 to 414 of the family's 1533-position model. The record is from RNAcentral.
GACGAACGCUGGCGGCGUGCUUAACACAUGCAAGUCGAGCGGUAAGGCCCUUUCGGGGGUACACGAGCGGCGAACGGGUGAGUAACACGUGGGUGACCUGCCCUUAGCUCUGGGAUAAGCCUGGGAAACUGGGUCUAAUACCGGAUACGACUCCGCGGUGCAUGCUGUGGGGUGGAAAGCCUUGUGCGGCUGGAGAUGGGCCCGCGGCCUAUCAGCUUGUUGGUGGGGUGAUGGCCUACCAAGGCGACGACGGGUAGCCGGCCUGAGAGGGCGACCGGCCACACUGGGACUGAGACACGGCCCAGACUCCUACGGGAGGCAGCAGUGGGGAAUCUUGCGCAAUGGGCGAAACGCCUGAACGCAGCGACGCCGCGUGAGGAUGACGG